This 62-nucleotide transfer RNA is filed under the name Haplobothrium globuliforme. RNAcentral describes it as "tRNA-Cys". Lineage: Eukaryota; Metazoa; Platyhelminthes; Cestoda; Haplobothriidea; Haplobothriidae. The record is from RNAcentral.
GGCCGGCAGCUUAGUGGCCACAGUUUUGCAAAGACUGAUGAGAGUGUUGUGACUCCCGGCCU